AAUAUUGGACAAUGGGGGCAACCCUGAUCCAGCCAUGCCGAGUGUGUGAAGAAGGUCUUCGGAUUGUAAAGCACUUUAAGUUGGGAGGAAGGGCCGUAGGUUAAUACCCUGCUGUUUUGACGUUACCAACAGAAUACGCACCGGCUACCUCUGUGCCAGCAGCCGCGGUAAUACAGAGGGUGCAAGCGUUACUCGGAAUUACCGGGCGUAAAGCGCGCGUAGGUGGUUCAGUAAGAUGGGUGUGAAAUCCCCGGGCUUAACCUGGGAACUGCUUUCAUAACUGCUGAGCUAGAGUACGGUAGAGGGUAGUGGAAUUUCCUGUGUAGCGGUGAAAUGCGUAGAUAUAGGAAGGAACACCAGUGGCGAAGGCGACUACCUGGACUGAUACUGACACUGAGGUGCGAAAGCGUGGGGAGCAAAC
This 421-nucleotide ribosomal RNA is filed under the name uncultured bacterium. RNAcentral describes it as "partial 16S ribosomal RNA". It matches the Rfam family "Bacterial small subunit ribosomal RNA", at positions 360 to 773 of the family's 1533-position model. The record is from RNAcentral.